CAGUCGACGAUGAAAGGGAGCUUGCUCCCUGGAUUAGUGGCGAACGGGUGAGUAACACGUGAGUAACCUGCCCUUGACUCUGGGAUAAGCACUGGAAACGGUGUCUAAUACCGGAUACGAACUUCAGCCGCAUGGCUAGGAGUUGGAAAGAAUUUCGGUCAAGGAUGGACUCGCGGCCUAUCAGGUAGUUGGUGAGGUAAUGGCUCACCAAGCCUACGACGGGUAGCCGGCCUGAGAGGGUGACCGGCCACACUGGGACUGAGACACGGCCCAGACUCCUACGGGAGGCAGCAGUGGGGAAUAUUGCACAAUGGGCGAAAGCCUGAUGCAGCAACGCCGCGUGAGGGACGACGGCCUUCGGGUUGUAAACCUCUUUUAGUAGGGAAGAAGCGAAAGUGACGGUACCUGCAGAAAAAGCACCGGCUAACUACGUGCCAGCAGCCGCGGUAAUACGUAGGGUGCAAGCGUUGUCCGGAAUUAUUGGGCGUAAAGAGCUCGUAGGCGGUUUGUCGCGUCUGCUGUGAAAUCCGGAGGCUCAACCUCCGGCCUGCAGUGGGUACGGGCAGACUAGAGUGCGGUAGGGGAGAUUGGAAUUCCUGGUGUAGCGGUGGAAUGCGCAGAUAUCAGGAGGAACACCAAUGGCGAAGGCAGAUCUCUGGGCCGUAACUGACGCUGAGGAGCGAAAGCAUGGGGAGCGAACAGGAUUAGA
Molecule: ribosomal RNA, 709 nt
Filed under: uncultured bacterium
Lineage: Bacteria
Description: bacterial SSU rRNA
Rfam family: Bacterial small subunit ribosomal RNA
Source: RNAcentral